Molecule: ribosomal RNA, 455 nt
Filed under: uncultured Corynebacterium sp.
Lineage: Bacteria; Bacillati; Actinomycetota; Actinomycetes; Mycobacteriales; Corynebacteriaceae
Description: bacterial SSU rRNA
Rfam family: Bacterial small subunit ribosomal RNA
Source: RNAcentral
CGGCGGAGCAUGUGGAUUAAUUCGAUGCAACGACGAAGAACCUUACCUGGGCUUGACAUACACCAGAUCGGCGCAGAGAUGCGUUUUCCCUUGUGGUUGGUGUACAGGUGGUGCAUGGUUGUCGUCAGCUCGUGUCGUGAGAUGUUGGGUUAAGUCCCGCAACGAGCGCAACCCUUGUCUUAUGUUGCCAGCACGUGAUGGUGGGGACUCAUGAGAGACUGCCGGGGUUAACUCGGAGGAAGGUGGGGAUGACGUCAAAUCAUCAUGCCCCUUAUGUCCAGGGCUUCACACAUGCUACAAUGGUCGGUACAACGCGUGUGCGACACUGUGAGGUGAAGCUAAUCGCUCUAAAGCCGGUCGUAGUUCGGAUUGGGGUCUGCAACUCGACCCCAUGAAGUCGGAGUCGCUAGUAAUCGCAGAUCAGCAACGCUGCGGUGAAUACGUUCCCGGGCCUU